This 58-nucleotide transfer RNA is filed under the name Dipodomys ordii (Ord's kangaroo rat). It matches the Rfam family "tRNA", at positions 8 to 63 of the family's 71-position model. From Rfam's summary of the family: Transfer RNA (tRNA) molecules are approximately 80 nucleotides in length. Their secondary structure includes four short double-helical elements and three loops (D, anti-codon, and T loops). The record is from Rfam by way of RNAcentral. Lineage: Eukaryota; Metazoa; Chordata; Mammalia; Rodentia; Heteromyidae.
UGGCUCAGUGGUAGAGUACUUGCCUUGCAUGCAUGAGGUCCUGGGUUCGAUUCCUCAG